UGGGGAAUAUUGCACAAUGGGCGCAAGCCUGAUGCAGCCAUGCCGCGUGUAUGAAGAAGGCCUUCGGGUUGUAAAGUACUUUCAGUCGGGAGGAAGGUGGUAAGGUUAAUAACCUUAUCAAUUGACGUUACCGACAGAAGAAGCACCGGCUAACUCCGUGCCAGCAGCCGCGGUAAUACGGAGGGUGCAAGCGUUAAUCGGAAUUACUGGGCGUAAAGCGCACGCAGGCGGUUGAUUGAGUCAGAUGUGAAAUCCCCGGGCUUAACCCGGGAAUUGCAUCUGAUACUGGUCAGCUAGAGUCUUGUAGAGGGGGGUAGAAUUCCAUGUGUAGCGGUGAAAAGGGUUGGGGUGUGGGGGAAUACCGGUGGCGGAGGCGGCCCCCUGGACAAAGACUGACGCUCCGGUGCGAAAGCGUGGGGAGCAAACAGG
RNAcentral lists this ribosomal RNA (429 nucleotides) under Chloroflexota bacterium. Its description in RNAcentral is "Chloroflexi bacterium partial 16S ribosomal RNA". It matches the Rfam family "Bacterial small subunit ribosomal RNA", at positions 355 to 776 of the family's 1533-position model. The record is from RNAcentral. Lineage: Bacteria; Bacillati; Chloroflexota.